Molecule: long non-coding RNA, 1115 nt
Organism: Oncorhynchus tshawytscha (Chinook salmon)
Lineage: Eukaryota; Metazoa; Chordata; Actinopteri; Salmoniformes; Salmonidae
Source: Ensembl
GCGAUGUCAUUUACAAAAUAGCCUCCAACACUCUAAUCAGCAAAUUGGACGCAGUCUAUCACAGUGCCAUCUGUUUCGUCACCAAAGCCCUAUAUACCACCCACCACUGCAACCUGUAUGCUCUCGUUGGCUGGCCCUCGCUUCAUAUUUUUUGCCCAACCCACUGGCUCCAGGUCAUCUAUAAGUCUUUGCUAAGUAAAGCCCCGCCUUAUCUCAGUUCACUGGUCACCAUAGCAGCACUCACCCGUAGCACUCGCUCCUGCAGGUAUAUUUCACUGGUCACCCCCAAAACCAAUUCCUCAUUUGGCCGCGUUUCCUUACAGUUCUCUGCUGCCAAUGACUGGAACGAAUUGCAAAAAUCUUACUUCAUUUGCAAACACUGUAUAUAGACUUUUCUAUUGUGUUAUUGACUGUGCGUUUGUUUAUACCAUGUGUAACUCUGUUUUGUUGUUUGUGUCACACUGCUUUGCUUUAUCUUGGCCAGGUCGCAGUUGUAAAUGAGAGCUUGUUCUCAACUUGCUUACCUGGUUGAAUAAAGAGAGAACUUCAAAAUGAGAUCCUGCCAUGGAAAAGACGACGGACAUGAAGUGGAAAGGAGGGGAAAUAACUCACACCAUGCAGCAGGACACCUUCAGCUGUGUGGUUUUUGUAAUGCAGAUGGCCAAGGAAGUUGCACAGAACUUCCCCAACAUCCCCUCCCAAAUUGAUAUGGAACCUUCAAAAACACAUGGAGCAAGUGCGAAAAUAAAUGGCUGAGGAUAUACUAAAAAUGUCUGAGUUCAACAAAGCCAACAACUGCUUCAUGUGUGCCACUGAUAAAGAACCUGGAUGUAGCACAAAGACUGCCUGGAUUGAAUGUUUUGCAGGCCAAAGGUGGUUCCAUGUGCUGUAACUAGGAAUGAAGACAAAAUAGUUAAACAGAGCAAACAACACAAACUGGAAGUGCUGUCUUUGUUGUUGAAAAUGUAUGCUAUACCCCAUCCACACUGAAGAGGCUCUGACAUGUACAUCAACCAGGGAUAAAGAGAAAGUUAACACUGUGAAAUGUUUCAUACUUAUUUUUAAUUGUAUGUUGACACGUUGGAAAAGAUUAAAGGUGUACAAUUUCUGUUUAA